RNAcentral lists this transfer RNA (68 nucleotides) under Marmota monax (woodchuck). RNAcentral's name for it is "tRNA.Lys". Lineage: Eukaryota; Metazoa; Chordata; Mammalia; Rodentia; Sciuridae. The record is from RNAcentral.
GGGUUGUGGCUCAGUGGUAGAGUGGUUGUGCCUUGCACAUGAGGCCCUGGGUUCGAUCCUCAGCCUCA